GUGAUCAAGUUUGAAAUUCAGGUCUGCAAAACCUUCUACUACUAAACUUUCUUUUUGCAAUAACAAAAAAAGGGAUUUUCUACUCAAUAUCGUCUUCAUAGUGGCGUCACUAGAUAAAAUAAUGAUUUUUCUAGAGCCAAUAUAUUUGAUUCAUAAUGUUACCAAGUGACCAUUGUUAUGUCUUGCAUGUGUCUGCUAUUGCCAACAACUAUUGUCGACUGACUCAUGCAUGUUGGUAGAAAUAACUUCCCAUGUUUUAAAGCUGCACAGUGUUGGUGUUAGAAAGUACAAUUCGCCGGCAUGGUAUUGUAUAUAUUGUAUAUUUGGUUCUAACUUUAAUUUAUUUUUUCUCCAGCUUUACAAGACCAGGGAUGACAAGUACCUGCUAGAUAUGCAGAGAGUUACUGGACCUCAGCUCCUCUUCUUGGAAUUUUGUGCGGCCUUCCUUACCAACCUUAGGGUUCUAUAGCUAGUGCCUGUUCUGGUUGACUGGUGAAUAUGACUGUCCCAUGUGGUGCGGUUCAUCGUCGCAACGGUGAAUAAGUGAUGGUGUGCAAGUAUAUAGGUUGUGUGUUUCAUCUUCGGUUUACCCAGUCCCAGACAGAGAACCGUGUUUGUUUGAGUGACUAGUCCUAUGUCAAGCACCAAAAAGGUUAAGUGGUUGUUAUAAAUAAGACCUAUGUAUGGUAAAUAGGUUGUGGUGAACCUUUUCUGAUUCUCCAAGCUGCGCCACGUACUGCUGGUGGUGAUGCGACAGCACAAGCUUUUGUGAUAUCAUUGCAUGAUCUAGUUUCUAUUUGCCUUGCUGUUGAUUAUGGUGAUGUUGUGUGCAUCUACAGUGCAAUGCAUGACGGCAGGCGUGCGGCACGGCCAUAGAAGUGGAAGCGCCGGGCUGCCACAGGGGCCAACCACGCGAUGGCGCAUGUGCGGGGUGGCGACGUCUUCGUUUGGCGGCGCCACGGCGGUGCUCUGGAGCUCAGGUGUGGUGCGGCGGCUGCGACGUCAUUUUUCUCGGGUGGUUGUGUGCGGGCCGUCCUCGACCAGAUGCGGAAGGAUCUAUUGCCGGGGUUCUGUAUGCGUAUUGGCCGAGGGCGACGAGGGUCACGCGCGUCUGGCUCCGCCAUGGCUAUCGGCUAGGGUAGUGGGCAACGUGGCAGUGGCGGACUGGCGGUGGUUGGUGUGUGCCCAGGACGGCGAGGUCUAUCUCUCGCCAUGUGGAUGGUACGGGCUAUAGGGUGGAUAGGGCUGGGAUUGGCGGCUUCCUACAUGGCUUCUGGGUGGGUGAAGUUGCGGCGUGGUGGCAGUGGUGCCUACCCGGUGGCACCGUGUUGGCGGUGACGGUCUUCUCCCGCGGGCGCGUGGCCGACGGGUGUUGUAGGUUUCCGCGGCGGUCGUGGAGCAGGUCGCGGGGAGCCGAAGGAGGUGGGUGCUUGGCGGCCUGGGGUAACGGCUACCCCCAGGUGGUUGGAGGUGCCGGAUAUGAUGGGGGUCCCCUAUAUGGAUCUUGAUUGGCCAGAUUUGAUGUCGGACGCCCAACCCUCCUGGUAGUGUUGGUUGGUAGAUGGCUGCAUGGGUGUGUUGGCUACCGGUGUCGUGGUUGGCUUGCCCCCCCCCCCUUACCGAGGCUAGUUGCUCCUCGCGCGUGCCCUGGUCACUCAUUGCUCAUGUUAAGGCAAUGUCUUGUGGAUUAGUUAGGACGGCGACUACGUGUUACGAUUUUGAUGAUGAGUUUGUCUGAGGAUUUCAUGACAGUGGCACUGGAUGGCGGGCUACACCUACACGGAUGGCUUUCCAUCAGGCUCCAUGAGUGACGGCUUCACUUCUUGGUCGUGUAGGAGGUAAGGGAUGUAGGGACGGGAAGCUCUGGCCUGCUCCGAUAGUGCACAGAUCUAAUGAGGAUCCGUUUGCCCUUGUUAUGGUGAUGACCAGGGUGCCUCCUGGUGGCUCUAGUGACUGUUUGAGUGAAAGUUUCUCGUGUGGAGCAGCCAUGGCGGUGCCCGUGGGUGUCGUUCUCUUCCGAAGUAUAUCCGGCCUCGUCCCUAUGCCAUGGAUCAGGCUGGCGUGAUUUCUAUUUUUGUUUCCUUUUUUCAUUUCCUUAUUUCUUUUGUUUCUUUCCUCAUUUUAUAAAAUGUUCCAAAUCUCAGUAACUGUUUGAGAAAUUGGAACAUCUUUGAAAAUUUUAAAUUAUUUUGAAAAUUACUUAACAUUUUUGAAGGAAUUUUUUUAAAUAAAAGAAAAAGGGUACUAAAAACCGAAACAAAGAACCACCAAGGAGAGAAAAAAAUUAGCAGAACCCGGAACUGGACAAGCCCACCUUGCUACAGUUUGCAAAGGUUACUCCCUACCUUCUCAUGUGCAGACAAGUGGCGCCUACAUGAGCGCCACUAUUGGUAACAUGCGAGUUUUGCAUUUUUCAUAGAUCCGUUGAUUUAAAAAGUUUUAUGUCUUGAACCGUCCGUCCAAAGAUCGAACCAUUUUCACUGUUCGAUUUCUUCUGUCGAGAUCUUAGAAAGAAGAUCCUAUGUUAAUAGGUUUCAAUGAACUUUUUUUCCAAAACAAAACCGGAAAUCAAAAGAGAAAACAAAAUAAUAAUAAAACUAUAGGGAAAACAAAAUCAGAAAAACAAAACUAUAAACCAAAAGUGAAUAGUGAAAAAAGAAACAGGACAAAAAAGGAGCCCGGAAGCACCGUUAUAGUGUUUUCAUUAUUUUUGGAAGCACAAAAUGUGUUUUUUUUCUUUUUCGGGGGGAAACACAGUUGUGCUUUGUGCUCUUCCCGUGGAAGCACAUGUGGUGCUUCUCAUGGUAGAAGCACAAACUUUCUUCCAACAGGAAGCACAUAUUUGCUUCUUUUUAUUGUAUGCAAUUAUUUUUCCUCAAAACCGAUGAAAAGAAAGCAAAUAUAGAAAACCAAAAAACAAAACCAUAUAAACCUGAAAACACAUUCAUAAAAAGAAACCAGAAUUCCAGAGGAAACGCCUAGCACGCGACAUGUGGCUAUUUGAAAAGAAAUGUUUAUGAAAAUAAAUAAAAGUGUUAAUGUCCAUGUACUUACCAAAAUGUUAGUUGACUAAAAUAGUUAAAUAAAUUCGGGAAAUAAAUGCUUUUAGUGUGUUUAAAAAGAGAAAGGAAAUGCAGGUUCCAAGCAGAAAUUACAAUAUAUGUGGGUCUCACAUAAUUUAUAUGUUUUCACUAGCGUUUCUCUUCCCUGCAUAUAGUAGCCUGUGUAAAACGCUCUCAAAGAAUUUCACAUGUGGUUUUAUUUAUAUGCAUACCACACUCUUUAUUUCCUAGAACUAGCGCCACGAAAAAAUCUAAAAAAUUACCAAGGAAGGUUUGUGAACUUCUUUUAGUUUGGUUUCUACAACUCUUGAGCAAAGUAUUUUCCGGAGUCAACCCCAUGAGCUAACAAAAAUAAUAAGCUCGAGAUAACAUGAUUGCAAAUAACAAUAAUGCUUCAGUAAGUUGGUUAUCAUAUUCCGUACCAACUUCUUGACAGAAUGUAUGAUGUAUGGUUCUAAAUUGUGAAAUGUUUUGCUAGAUGCUCUUUAGUGAAUGUUUUAGUUUUUCUCUUGCCUCCUUGUGCAGAACGGGUCAUGAUUUUCAGACAAGUGCAGAUCUGUAUGUAAUCUAUCAAUUAUUUAAUAGUUAUCUCAGAAUUUCACAGGCAUAGUUUUGUAUGGUUCUUUUUUUUUUGUUUGCCUUUGUCUCCUAAAUAUAGUGUGUGAUUAUAAUGAAAGUACAUAUGUAUAGGCGUAUAUUGGAAGGCCAUUGAAUACACCAUAGCUGUUGAAUAUGAGGUACAUUUUUAGUUCCCUACUGUGUCUUCUAGAUUGCAGGCCAUCUUGACUUUACAAGUGUAACCUAUUACCACGGCACACGAGAUGCUUUUUGUGCACACGUUAUGUCUUCCAGAUGCUGCAUAAUUUUAUAAAAAAUGUUCUAAUGCGAUAACUACUUGUUAAGACACUACCGAUUAUAUAACAACUUAUUUCACAGGCAUAGUUUUGUAUGGUUCAUUUUUUUUUGCCUCUGUGUGAUAAAUAUAGUGUGUGAUUAUGUUGAUGGUACAUAUGUAAAGGCGUAUACUGGAAGGCCGUUGAAUACACAAUAGCAGUUGAAUAUGAGGUACAUUAUUUAGUUCCCUACUGUGUUUUGUAUAUUGCAUGUCUCUAGACUUUACAUGUGCUCCUUAUUACGGCGCCACACGAGAUGCUUUUUGCGCACACGCUAUGUCUUCCAGAUGCUGUGUAAUUUUAUAUAUAAUGGUUUAAUGCGAUACUUACAUGGUAAGACACUAACGAUUAUAUAACAACUUAUUUUUGUCCUUCCUAGAAAACCUGGAGAGCGCAAGUAUGUAGUGUCUGGUCUUCGGGUUAAAGCUUAGUGUGGUUGAUAGUUAUCGUAAGUUUUACCCAUAAGCCGAUUAACUUGAAAACGAACAAACGAUCUUGAAAUAUCCCACAUAGCACAAUUUGUCGAUGUUUACAAAAAGUAAUUAUUAAGUUUUGGCCUAAAAAGAAAAUGACGCAUAUGGUCACGAUAUGGUGUGUUUCUAUAACUAGUACAACAUUUAUCCUCAAAUAAAAAUUGAUUAAAGAUAUUUCUCUAUUGUCAUAUCUCAUUUAGGAUAACAAUUCAUAUGUCUAUAGAACUAUACUAUUUUGAAUAGUGCAACAUGAGUAUCACAUAGGUCAUGUUAAUGAUGAUGCCCUCGAAAAUCAUAAAUAAGAUGGUUAGUACGACAUGCAUAAUUAGACCGAAAGUGAUUAAUGGAUAACAUAUGUCUUCAUAAAAAAAUGUACCAUACCUAAGAAAGAACUAUGUUUGUACAAAUCUUACAUUUGUAAACCUAUCACAUUUGGUUCCAUUUUCUCUUUAAACAAAUCAAAUAAUAUGUUCUCACUAAAAAACUUUAUACAAUUCUAGCCUGCGCAUCGAGAGGCCCACUAUGCUAGUUUAUAGAAAAACUAAUAAUCAUGACGAUAUCCAAGGCAACGAUCAUGUAUAUAGGCAUCACGUCUGAGACAAGUAGACCGAAAUGAUUCUGCAUCUACUACUAUUACUCCACACAUCGACCGCUAUCCAGCAUGCAUCUAGAGUAUUGAGUUCAUAAAGAACGGAGUAACGCCUUAAGCAAGAUGACAUGAUGUAGACAAAGUAAACUGACGCAUGAAUAAACCCCAUCCUUUUAUCCUUAAUGGCAACGAUACAAAUACGUGUCAUGUCCCCUUCUGUCACUGGAAUUGAGCACCACAAGAUCGAAUCCAUCACAAAGCACCACUCCUAUUGCAAUAAAAAUCAAUCUAUUUGGCCAAACCAAAUUAAAAGAUCGGAGAGAAAUAGAAACUAUUACAUUCAUGCAUAGAAGAGUUCAGAGGAAAAUCAAAUAAUAUUCAUGGAUAAUCUGAUCAUAAACUCACAAUUCAUCGGAUCCCAACAAACGCACCGCACAAAGUCAUUAAAUUAAAUAGAUCUCCAAGAACAUCAAGGAGAACAUUGUAUUGAAGAUCAAAGAGAGAGAAGAAUCCAUUUAGUUACUCUACGGACCCUUAGGUCUGUGCUAAACUAAUCACACAUCAUAGGAAGGGCAGUAAGGUCGAUGUAGAUCCCCUCCGUGAUCGAUUCCCCCUCCGGCAGACUACCGGAGAAGGCCAACAGAUGGGAUCUUGUGGGAACAGAAACUUGCGGCGGCGGAAAAAGUAUUUCGGGUGGCUCUCUGAUGUCAGGGGAAUAUUUGAGAAUUUAUACAGGCGAAAUUAGGUCAAGACGUGCCACGAGGGGCCCACAACCUGGGGGUGCACCUCCCGAGAUUGUCGCUCCCUCGCGACUCUUCGGGUCUUCUCCCCUACCUUCUAGGGUGUCUUCCGGUCCAGAAAAAAUUAAUCCAAAGUUUUUCUCCGUUUGGACUCUGUUUUAUAUCGAUUUCCUGAAAAGAAAAAAUAGCGACUGGCACUAGGCACUAUAUUAAUACGCUAGUCCCAAAAAAGAUAUAUAAUUGCAUAUGAAACAUCCAAGAUUGAUACCAUAAUAGCAUGGAAUAGUACAAAAUUAUAGAUACGUUGGAGACUUAUCAAAGAGCGGGUUGAUAAACUGCACAAACAACAUGGAAUUGUUGUGGUAUGUCUCUUCUGCUUCAUGAUCAUGAACAUCCUAGGCUCCAUGGCGGACCGAACCAAGCACGGCUUCAGUUGGAUAGAGGAGGGACGUGGACGUGCCCUCUGGGUCCACUAGGAGGCCAUGGAACUUGCCGACACAACCAACAGCAAUCUAGGGAGGACCUACAACAUCCAUGUCUAGAGCACGUCCAGGAUGUCUAUGUGGACCGUUUUCUAGGACAAGGGCAUGUUCAUGGUGCACCGGAGCUCAGUGACUCGGUGGACCACUUCUUCUGUAGCAGGACAAGAGCUAACACCAAUGAUGUGGAGGGACGUCGGGCUUACAUGGCGGAUGGAGAGGGCCUGGAUAAUGUCCGGCCAUUUCAUCACCUACACGAUGGAGAAAUCCACAAUGUGCGCCGUCAAAUGCCACGUUGUAAGAUCUUAUUAUCAUGGGGCUAUUGGAGGAGAUGGUCUUUCUUUCCUGCUUUAAUAACCCUUGUUAGAGAUUUUGAAUUUGGCUCUUUAAAACUUUUUAUGCAUACAUUAUAUAUUAUUUCUCUUGUUCCUAACGAGAGCAAUGCUAAAAAUAUACAUAAUUUUAGACCUAUUAGUCCUAGUAAUUGUAGUGUUAGGAUUUUUAUUAAAGCCAUGACUAACAUGUUUUCCCCUUUUUUUGGUGGAAUGAAUUCUACCAAUCAAACAAAAUUUUAAUAUAGGUGGAUUUAUUUCUGAAAGUGUGGUUAUGGAACAUGAAGUUAUCAUGAGAUUCACUCUUCUAAAUAUAGCCCCCUUGUUCUUACACUUGACUAUGAAAAGGUCUAUGAUAGUGUAAGAUGGUAAUUCCUUUUGGAAGUUCUUACAUCUAAGAGGUUUUGUUGAGAAGUGGAUUGGGUGGAUUAAGUUGGUUCUCUUUCAAGGUUAAUUAUAUGUCAGGAAUAUUGACACUAAUGGACCUUACAUUAUUAGUGGUAAGGGUUUAGAAGGAAGGUUAUCUUUAUUCCCCAUUCUCUUUAAUUUGGUUGCCCAUGUUUUCACUCAAAUGUUGGGGAAAGCUUAUGUCCAUGGGGGAAGAGAUAUAUUGUUAGAGGAUAAGAUUUGGAAAAAACUUAUUAAUUUUAAAUAUGGGACCCCUAAACCGAUUUUGUUGUCCAAACGAGGUGUCUGUUCUCUCUUCUAGAGGGAUUAAUUUGUUCUUUGACUACUUCUAAGUUCUUUUAAAUAUGUAGAUUUGGAAAUGGUUCUAGUGUUAAAUUUUGGCAUGACAUUUGCGUUGGGGAUUCGUCUCUCAAGGUACAAGUUUUGGAUUUUCCUGAUAUUUCGGGAGUUAGGAUUCAUCUCUUAAGGAGCUUUAUGAUGUUUUCCCCGCACAUUUCACCAAAAAAUCCUACAUUUACACUACCUGCCACUAGAGUUGAUAUGUCAAUGAAACACGGGUAUAGGUUACUUGAGUUUGGGAUACAUGGAUGGCACUUGGCCAAGGUAUACUAUUUUUGACUCAAAUUCCAUGUUCACCCAACCUGUCUUACCUUUUGCACGAUAUGCUGUCUAUAUAUCUUCUAAUUAUGUGAGUGGCAGGCAUCAACCAUUCUCCUAGAUGUGAAACCUUGCGCCAGAGAAUACAUAGAGUAGCUUGCCCACCUGAUGGGCCUCUUUUAUCCUUGGUGGCACAUGUUUGAUAAUCAUGCGCCAGAGCUGACGCUGCAUGCAUGCGAGCGCCUUGCGGUGCUCCGAGCUGGUUCUACCUUAUCCACACAUGACGUCGAAGAUCUGCCCACUAUUAGAAAAAGGCCUGCUAGUGGCGCACCUGUUUUGCCUACUAAUGGCGCACUACAGGUGCGCCACUAGCACCACGCCGCGCACCAGGCAGUGCGCCAUUAGUAUAGCCCAUGGUGCGCCAUUACUAUCUGACUUAGUAAUGGCGCACCACAUAGAAGUGCGCCAUUAGUAACAAUUUUUUUCAAAUAUUUUUUCAGAAUUUCUUUUUCAAUUUUUUCUUAAUCUUAGGUCACUAUGGCUUAAUCUCGGGUCAAUAUGCUUAAUCACAAGUCAAAUCACACUAAGUGAUCAAACUUCCCGGAAGGUCACCCAUCCUCACACUACUCCAGCCCGAGCACGCUUAACUUCACAGUUCUAUCCAACCCAGCACCACCUCACUUAACAGGCACUUGUUGAUAUAUCUACCAUAUCAAUCCUAUUAAACCUUGUUGAUGUCUAGGACUUUGUUCAUGUUCAUGAGUAUGAUGAAAUUUUGAAAAAUAUUUCAAACUUCCCGGUCAUAUUACGUAUCAUUUUUUGAAAAAAAAAUCAAAAAAAAAUUUCAACACCAAUUUUUUUUCUGUUACUAGUGGCGCACCUAGCAAACGGUGCGCCACUAGUAAGUUUGAAUUUUUUUGCCUCUAGAUCUUGAAAGCCCCGUAACUUUUUUCUGUUAGGUUUGUGAGGAUUUUGAAAAAAUUUAACGUGUUCCCCCGUUAAAUUCGGAUGUAACUUUUUGAGUAGAUGAUUUUUCAUAUAAAAAACUUUUUAAUCCGAGUUCGUAUGCAAAAGUUAUGCCCAUUUUACAAAUUCCAGAGAGAUUUUGCACAUAAAGUCGAAAUUCAUAUUUGUAAAUUUUCCCAACAACUAGACCACAUAUCACAUGGGAAACUUAUUUUCUUUUAUUUUUUUGACAUUUCCAUCAUUUUCUUUUAUUUAUUUUUUAAAACUGAAAAGGCGGUCCACCGGGGGGGUUGCAUUCGGUGGAAUUUUUGGGUCAAGUUAGUAAUGGCGCACCGUGGGAGUGGUGCGCCAUUACUAGUUAGUUCACCUAGUAAUGGCGCGCCACUCCCACGGUGCGCCAGUACUAGUUUUGAAAAAAAAUUGAAAAAAAAUUACUAGUGGCGCACCGUGGAUGUGGUGCGCCAUUACUAGUUUAACUAGUAAUGGCGCACCAGCGCACUAUCCCCUGGUGCGCCAUUACUAGUUUAAAAAAAAAUAAAAAAAAAAUUGUUACUAGUGGCGCACCAUGGAUGUGGUGCACCAUUAGUAUUUGGACACUAAUGGCGCACCAACACAUGGUGCGCCAUUAGUAUAUAGUAGUGGCGCACCACAUGUCUGAUGCGCCAUUAGUGUUCAUAUCAUAUAUAGCCCUUGUCCUAGUAGUGGCCUCUAGAUGUACGCGUCCGCUCUUGCUCCAUUUCCUGUUGUGCUAGCAUGGAUCACCGACGUAGCCUCUAUCUAGUUGAACAUGCCACCAUAGUAGAAGAGUGUGUUUCUAAACUACUCCACCAACCAUGAAUUUUUGUGGUAUCUCCCCUGAUCCAUGAUCGUGAACACCAUGGGAUGCAUGGCGCUGAUCUAGCUGAGGACAGGGUCAAUUGACGAGAGGAGGCAUGUGGACACGCUGUAUGGGUCCACUAGGAGGCGGUAGAGCUAGUAGAUAGAGUUAAAAACCACCAUCACUCGGGGGAGAACUUAUAAUAUCUAUGUAUGAAGCAUGUCCAGGCUAUCAUUGACGUCCCUUUGGAAGGGGAAGGGCGCGUUCAAGGCAUGCGCCAGUUACAGAUGUAAAUGGGAAAAACACUUAUAAUAAAACAAUACUUUCCUCAACCAACUUUAUCGUGUAAAUGAAAUAAAUAUCUCGAGAACAGAUAUAGUAAUAGUUUAUUACCUUCUCAAACUACCAACCACAUCAUUUAGACAAGAGAUAAAUAAAGUUUCCAAAUGUCCACAUAUGAAAUAGCAACUAUAUCUAUUCGAUAUAACUAGCAAUUACUUUCUUCCUCCCUUUUGUCCUUCCGAUGCAACUCUUUGAAACCUCCUCACUUUCCCCCACAAAAUCCUAUAGUGUGUACACUACCUGUUGUUAAAGUUGACAUGUCAAUACGACACCGAUAUACGCAACUUGUGUUUGGUACACAUGGAAGGGACUUGACCUCAGUAUUAUUUUCUAGUUCCAGUUCCUUGUACCCUGCAACCCGACUUACAUUCGUUCCUGAUAACAUGCCAAUAUAUCUUCUCUUAAUGUGAGCGAGAGGCAUCUGCCUAUCUCUGUGUAUUCUCUGACACCAGCCCACUGCUUGUAGUUCCACCAUGGACCACUGGAAUGGACUCUAUCAAGUCGAGCACUAUGUCGUAGCAAAUCUGUGUGUUGCUAAACUUCACAAACAUCCUGGAAUUGUUGUGGUCUAUAUCCUUCUCUAUCAUCACGAACACCAUGGGCUGCAUGGCAGACCUAAUCAUGCACGACGUCCAUUGGUGAGUGGAGGGACGUGGGCAUGAUGUCCGGGUCCACUAGGAGGCGGUGGAGCUUGCAUAUAGAUUUCACAGCCACCUCCACUCCAGGAAGGACCUAGAACAUCUACGGCUAGAGCAUGCAUAGGCGGUCAAUAAGGUCCAUUUGCAGAAGAAGGGCACAUUCAUGGUGCGCACGAGCUUUGUGAAUCACAUGAACAUUUCUUCAAUGGCGGGCAUAAAGAUGACACCAAUGAUGUCGAGGGACGGAGGGCUUCAAGGGAAGAUGGUGAUGGCCGGGAUAAUGUCCAACAACUACAUGCCCAACUAGUGUUACUAAAGGGAUGUGCGUGGGCCCUUCAGGAUAUGUGCCGCCCUGGCGUUGAUAGGUAUAAUUUGGCGUGACGCGAAGCUCUGAAGGUUUGGCCAGUUGGUCAGAGGGACACAUUUCCCAUUCCUGUUGAAUCCGUCCCCGACGAUAGAAUGGAAAUGGAAGGAGAGAAAGAAGGGAUGUGGUUGGGCCCGCAGGACAUGUGGCACCCUGGCAUUGGUAAGUACAACGUGGCCUGAUGUGACAAACUGAAGUUUUGGCCGGUCUAUCGUAGAGAAACGUGUGCCAUUACCCUUGAAUCCAUUCGUGGCAACAAAUUGGAAAUGGAAGGAAAGAAAGAAGGGAUGUGUGCGGGCCCGCAAGGACAUGUGUCGCCCUGGUGUUGGUAGGUAUAACGUCACGUAACGCGACACACUGAAGUGUUGGACGGUCGGUUCAAGGGAAACGUUUCACAUUCCCCUUUAAUCCACCCCUGGCGACGGAAUGGAAACAGAAGGUGAGAAAGAAGGGAUGUGCAUGUGUCCGCAAGGACAUGCGGUGCCCUGGCAUUGAUAGGUGUAAGGUGGCGUGAUGUGACACAUUGAAGUUUUGACCGCUGAUCAUAGGGAAACGUUUCCCAUUCUAGGUGUGACACGUGAAAACUAAUAAGCAGCCAUCAAGAUCGUGACCGGUGCAGGGGUAGUAAAUUUUUUUUGCUGAUUUUUUUAGUUGGCAUUGUGUUACUAUGAAAAAACAAAACAAAUUCGGACAAAACAGUCCAACAUGUGUAUGCACCCAGUAUAGUCAACAUCCUCUUCACGCACGAAACAACAGCGUUCCAGUUAAUCCCACCCACCUCCAAUGCCGGCCGCACGGCAUACAUAUUUCACAUCGGCGCCUCGUUACUGGCGACUGAAAAGCAUGUCUGUUCUCCAUCCUAUUCCUAUACCGUCCAAAUGAACCAACAACGGACGGAGGAAUCACCCGGACCAACAUUCACCUCAGCAUGCUCGGAAUUGAAAGUCUUUAUUGCUGAUCGAUCUCACUUUCCCCAAAUUCACUCUAUAUAUGGUCGAAAGGAUCCUACAGAGCAAUCGGGGGAUUCUGAUUCUGAUGCUACUGUGGUACGUGUAAUUCUUGUGUGAACAGUUAUUGAGUAGUACUAGCAGAUUCAUGUGUUAGCUCAUUCAUUGUUGCACGACUGCAUUUCUUGCAUGUCUCUUCCAUGUUUACCACACAUAUAUGCCGAGUCAUGGUAUUAAUCUGUGAACCUUUUUAAGAAUACAUUCCAUGUAAGGGCAACUCUAACCGAUCCCCUAUCCCGUCGUAAGCAUAAGGGAGUAUAUUUGGCUUUUUUUCUCCUCUAAACUGCACCUAGCCUAUCCCUUAUUACCAUUAGUAGAGUAAAGUUUUUACUCGAACCCCAAUCUUCUUGUUAUAUUUACUCCGGCUCGCGAAGGCCGAGUAAAAAAUCGCCAUUUUCACUUUGUCUCCCUGCCUCCUCUUCUCCCCCUCGCCCCGUCACUGGCGCGACCCUCGCCCCGAUCCGCCGCCCUCCCUCCUCCCGAUGGCCGGACGUGGUGGCCGCCGGUCCGCUCCGUCGAUCCGCAGCGCGGAUCCGUGCAGCCACGCCCGCGGGCAUCGUCCGUGGGCGCUUCCUCGAGCCACCGCCGCUCCCCUCUGUCGAUCCGCAGCACGGACCUGUGCCGCGACGCCCGCUGGUUAUCGUCCGCGGGCGCUUCCUCGAGCCGCCGCUGGUCCCUUUCGUCGAUUCGCAGCGCGGAUUUGUACCGCCACGCCCACGGGUCAUCGCCCGUGGGCCCUUCCUCGAGCCGCCGCCGGUCACCUCCGUCAAUCCGCAGCGCGGUUCCGUGCCGCCACGCCGGCGGGUCAUCGUCCGCGAGCGCUUCCUCGAGCUGCCGCCGCUCAGCCGAUCCGAGUAGUACUAGUAAAAGAUCCUACAAAGCUCAUUCAUUGUUGCCUGACUGCAUUUGCAUGUCUCUUCCAUGUUUAUCACACAUAUAUGCCGACUCAUGGUAUUUUAUUUGUGAAUCUUUUUAAGAAUACUUUCCAUGUUAACCCACUAGCUAGGAUUCUAUGUGUCAUCUGUGUCUUCGCGCCAGGGCCCGGGCACCCAAAGCACGAGCGAGCAUUUUCGAUAGUUGUUAUCCCAACUAUCCUAGCCAGACCUGAUACAUUACAUAUCAGGAAAGGCCUAUAGUCAUUCAGUGUUGCGUGUGCAGGCAGUUUUAUGGUAAUAUAUUUUGCUCCUACUCGAUCCGUACAAGAUAGUACUUGUUGGUUGCCGAUCAUCUCACUGAACCAUCCUUCAGCGAUCGAAUAUGUUGUGCCUCUCCCUAUUUGAGAAGGGAACUUCACCCAUUUCGUUGACCUUUAAUUUGAACCACAAUUGCCCUCGCCAGUCAUGUCCCAUAGUGGUCAUUUAUGGCCAGCCCACUCAUUUCACACUCAAGGCCGGUCUCUAAGAAGUGACAUGCUGUAAAUAUUUCAUGUUAUUCAUGAUCAGUAUAUUUAGCAUAACUCGUGUUUUACCAGUUUUAAUCAACAUGCAUCUAAACUAUAAAUCUGUUUACUGAAUCACACAUAUUGUUUCUCUAGUUUUUGCAUAGUGAAAAUGGAUGGGAACACCAGAGGAGGUGGACAUUAUGAAGCAUUGAAGAGCUACAAUUUGGGCAAAACGUUCGGUGCAGGCACAUUUGGAAAAGUGAUGAUUGCAGAGCAUAAGCUUACAGGACACAAAGUUGCUAUAAAGAUUCUGAACCAUCGUAAAAUGAAAACUAUGGAAAUGGAAGAGAAAGGUAUGCCUCCUUUUCCUUGUACAAUAGUGUAGGAUACAUUCCACUUGCUUGUUCAGGAUUUCAAGUUAUCUGCUUUUAGAGUGCUGGUCAGACAUGUGGGUAUGUUCCUAAUUCCCACGUAAUCGAUUAGUCGAGAUAAUGUACAUUAGUAUAGGAUACAUUCGGCUUUUCUUAAGAUGAAAGUUCAGCUUGUGUUGUUGCUGCGAGUUGGUAGAAUUUUCAUAUGCAUUGUCUUCAUAGGCUCAAUGUCUAACACUUUACUUCUAUUGUUUUCUCAUAUCUCAUUUCCAGCAAAUAGAGAAAUCAACAUAUUGAGGUUGUUCAUUGACUUCAUUCACUCUCAUAUCAUCCGGAUUUAUGAGGUCAUUGAGACACCGAAGGAUAUUUUUGUUGUGAUGGAAUAUUGCCAGAAUGGUGACCUAUUGGACUACAUUGUUGAGAAAAAAGGCGGUUACAGGAAGAUGAGGCCCGUCGAAUCUUCCAGCUGGUGCCUUUUCUACUCCUGCCAUGUAGGAACACAUUUUUUGGGAAUAACCAUAUGUUGAGCUUCCUAUUUCGACCAUCAAAUGUAUGGACAUGCUUGCUAGUUGUCGACCUUCCUCAUGUGUUUACCGUGCAAAUCGCGAUCAAUUUGCUUGGUUUGCAUUCGUUGACUAAGUUUUACCGAUACUUUUUUGCUCGAUGACGAUUUUUUCCGGGAGGGGACGGAAAAAUACGGUUUACGGAAAAUGUCGGACUAUAUUAUAUUUAAGCUCGUUGGUUUUUGUCGAUUCUUUGUUUUGUUGUUGUAUUAUUUGGCAUCUUCAUCAUUUCAUGCCUUGGUUAUCUUAGUAUCAUUAAUUAAAUCAAUUUUUGUUUAAAUGGCGUCUUAUUCUUCAUGCCUUGAUUGUCUUAAUCUAAGUGCUCAAAUUAAAUUGUCCUUUAAAACAUAAAGAGAUGGUAUAUCCCUUCUGAAGGCGAAUAUGUAAUUUGAAGGGUUCUUUCUGAUUCACUGAAUGCAUAUUGAGGUUUUGUCUCAAUAGCUUUUCAAUUGAAUUUUUGUUAAACAGAUUAUAUCUGGUGUUGAAUACUGCCACACAAACAUGGUUGUUCAUCAUGAUCUAAAGCCAGAAAACAUGUUACUUGAUUCCAAAUAUAAUGUGAAACUUGCUGACUUUGGGUUAAGCAAUGUGAUGCAUGAUGGCCACUUUUUGAAGACUAGUUGCGGGAGUGUAAACUAUGCCGCACCAGAGGUAUUGACUUAUUUUAUUAUUUGAGUCCUUAUCCUCAUGCUUCUUCUCACGCAUCGUCUGGGUUAAUAGCUUUAAUGAGUGUUUCUACAUAGGUUAUCUCUGGUGAAUUGUACGCAGGACAUGAGGUUGAUGUUUGGAGCUGUGGGGUGAUGCUUUAUGCUCUUCUUUGUGGUGUUGUUCCAUUCGAUGAUGACAACAUUCCCAAACUAUUCAAUAAGAUAAAGGUGUGACAGAACAUUUGUAGAUUAAGUUGGAUCUAACAAGUGUUUACCUUUUUUUCUGGAAAUCAACAAAUUCAUGUAGAUUAGCUGGACUUUAGAAUUCAUUUUUUUCUGGAGAUUUAACUCCACCUUAUUUGGUGUUAUAGGGAGGUAUCUAUAUCCUUCCAAAUCAUUCAUCUGAUCUUGGAAUGGAUUUGAUCCCAAGAAUGCUUAUUGUUGAUCCCAUGAAGAAAAUCACAAUCAGUGAAAUUCGAGACCACCCAUGGUUACAGAAUCGCCUUCCUCCCUACCUGGCAGUGCCUCCACCAGACACAGCAUAGCAAGCCAAAAUGGUACCCCAUAUGUUUCAUAUUUCAAGCGACUAUCAUAUCUGCACAGUAAAACUUUUCAGCCUUUAUCCACUUACAUAUACAGGAUUUUUAAUGGAUGAUAGGAAAUUAAGAAUAAUACUUUUGCCGUGAAAUGCUCUCUUUUAUGGGUAUAAUAUCAAUGUAAUUGCAAAGAAAAUAUAAUAGAAAUCAAUGGCCAUAGUUGUGCCCUUUGUUUCAAAAAGGUAUCACGUCAAGUCUCCAUGCAAUGCUGCUCUUUAUUUAGCAAAUAAUAAUCAUUUAUUAUCGAGCAUUCAAGUACCGUUUCUAUGGGAAUGAUAUGCUGAUUUGCUAGAUGUUCAUUUCAGGAGAUUGGCGAACAUACACUUCAAGAUGUUGCUAAUCUGGGAUAUGAUAAAGAUCAUGUGUGUGGAUCGUCGUGCAAUAGGCUGAAAAUGAGGUAUAAUCACACAAAAAUCAGUGGUUCAGUCCUUUCAGUUUUCAUAACUGACUAUAUACUACAUGUUUCCAAGAAAAGGUUUGCAUAUUACUUGCUCUUGGACAAUCGGUUCCGGGCUACUAGUGGCUAUUUGGGGGCUGACUAUCAACAAGAAAUGGUUAGUCCACAUUUGCAUCAUCUGUGACCUAUUUAAUGCACUAAAGGUUUAUGCACUAUUAACUUUAUGAGUGGAUGGUUCUCUAGGAUAUGAGUUUUAAUCAGUUUACUCUAUCGGAAUCAGCAAGCCCAAGUACCAGGAAUUAUCUUCCAGGCCCUAGCGUUGGUAGGUAUAAUUUGGCAUGACGCGAAACUCUGGAGGUUUGGCCCUGGCCUCACAGGGACACGUUUCCCAUUCCUGUUGAAUCCGUCCCCUGCGAUAGAAUGGAAAUGGAAGGAGAGAAAGAAGGGAUGUGGUUGGGCCCGCAGGACAUGUGGCACCCUGGCAUUGGUAAGUACAACGUGGCCUGACGUGACAAACUGAACUUUUGGUCGGUCUAUCGUAGAGAAACGUGUGCCAUUACCCUUGAAUCCAUCCGUGGCAACAGAUUGGAAUUGGAAGGAGAGAAAGAAGGGAUGUGUGUGGGCGCGCAAGGACAUGUGGCGCCCUGGUGUUGGUAUGUAUAACGUCACGUGACACGACACACUGAAGUUUUGGACGGUCGGUUUAAGGGAAGCAUUUCCCAUUCUCCUUUAAUCCGCCCCUGGUGACGGAAUGGAAACGGAAGGUGAGAAAGAAGGGAUGUGCAUGGGUCCGCGAGGACAUGUGGUGCCCUGGCAUUGGUAGGUAUAAUGUGGCGUGAUGUGACACGCUGAAGUUUUGACCGCUGAUCAUAGGGAAACAUUUUCCAUUCUAUUUGUGACACGCGGAAAUUAAUAAGCAGUCAUCAAGAUCGUGACCGGUGCAGAGGUAGUGAUUUUUUUUGAGUUUUUUUGCUGAUUUUUUCGUUGGCUUUGUGUUACUAUGAAAAAACAAAACAAAUUCUUAGAAAACAGUCCAAUAUGCGUAUGCACCCAGUAUAGCCAACAUCCUCUUCACCCACGAAAUAACAGCGUUCCAGUUAAUCCCACCCACCUCCAAUGCCGGCCGCACGGCAUACAUAUUUCACAUUGGCGCCUCGUUACUGGCGACCGAAAAGCAUCUCUGUUGUCCAUCCUAUUCCUAUACCGUCCAAAUGAACCAACAGCGGACGGAGGACUCGAUCGACACAUGCAAAAGGAAGGAGAGAAAAAUGGGCGGGGGCCGGGAAACGACAAAGGAGAAAGAGGAAAACAACGUGCGCACUUAGGUAAGCGUAAUGCUGACGCUAAUGCUCACCUUUCCCUUUCCCCGGUUACACCGCCCCCAUCUAAUAAGCUUUAUCUCAUCUAAAGCCUAAAGCACACCUUCCCUCCCACCGCCGGAGGUAGAGCAUCCUCAAAACCUGUGUCCGGGUGGUUGAUCGACCACGGGAUUUGGUCAGGUAAUUAAGGCAAUAGCACUGCUCAUUUGGCCUGCAAUUCAUGUCGGAGUUUAGCAUUUUUGCAUCGUUGUUGCUUGCUUGGCCUGGUAGAGAGCUGAGUAAGUUCACGCAUGCUCUUAAAGUUUAGUUCUGAGGGAAUGCUACUUGUCCAUUCUAUUUUUGGCUCGAGUGAGAAAUUUAUUAGUGCAGUUUGUGUGCUGCUCUACUUGUGGUUGUGGGGAUUUCGGUGCCCUCCCUUUUUGUUUCUUCCCUCCAAUGGGGAUCUUUGCUACAGAUCCACGUAUGAAUAUGUGAACCUUUUCAAGAAUACUUUGCGUGUUAACCCAUUACCUUGAAUUUUAUGUGUCAUAUGUGUCUUUGCACCAGGGCCGGGCAUCCAACGUACGAGCAAGCAUUAUCGGUGGUUGUUAUCCCAACCAUUAUUGCCAGACCAGAUAUAUUACAUAUCAGAAAAGGCCUAUAGUCAUUCUUGCUGUGCGUGCAAGCAUUUUUAUGGUAAUAUAUUAUGAUCCUACUCGAUCCCUUCAAGAUAGUACAUGUUGGUUGCCGAUCAUCUCACUGAACCAAACUUCAGUGAUCGAAUAUGCUGUGCCACUCCCUAUUUGAGAAGGGAACUCCAUUUCCUUGACCUCUAAUGGAACCACACUUGCCCUCACCAGUGAUGUCCGAUAGUGGUCAUUUAUGCCCAGCCCACUCAUUUCACCCUCAAGGCCAGUAUAUAAGAAGUGACAUGCUAUAAAUAUUUCAUGUUAUUCAUGAUCAGCAUAUUCAGUGUAAGUCAUGUUUCACCAGUUUCGAUCAACUUGUGUCUGAACUAUAAAUCUGUUUACUAAAUCUCAUAUAUUAUAUCCCUUGUUUUGGCAUAGUGAAAACGGAUGGAAACACUAGAGGGGGUGGACAUUCUGAAGCAUUGAAGAGCUACAAUCUGGGCAAAAAAUUCGAUGAAGGCACAUUUGGAAAAGUGAUGAUUGCAGAGCAUAAGCUUACAUGACACAAAUUUGCUAUAAAGAUUCGGAACCGUCGUAAAAUAAAAACUAUGGAAAGGGAAGAGAAAGGUAUGCCUCCUUCUCCUUGCUCAAUAGUGUAGGAUACAUUUAACUUGCUUGUUGAAAAUUUCGAGUUAUCUGCUUUCAGAGUGUUGGUCAGACUUGUGGGUGUGUUCCUGAUUCCCGCUUAAUCAAUUUGUCGAGAUAAUGUAUAUUAGGUUAGUUCAUCUUUGGUUAAGAAGAAAGAUCACCUUGUGUCUUUGCUCGAGUUAGUAGAAUUUACAUCUCCAAUUUAUUCAUAGACUCAAUCUCUAACACUUUACUUCUAUUGUUUUCUCAUAUCUUGUUUCUAGCAAAUAGAGAAAUAAAGAUAUUGAUGUUGUUCGUUGACUUCACUCACCAUCCUAUCAUCCGGUUUUAUGAGGUUGAGGGACCUAGGGAUAUACUUUGUGAUGGAAUGUUGCAAGGAUGGUGAGCUAUUGGACUACAUUGUUGAGAAAGGGCGGUUACAGGAAUAUGAGGCUCGUCGAAUCUUCCAGUAGGCGUUGUUCACACUUUGCUUGAGUUCAGUCCGAGUGUUGUUCACACUCCUCAAUGGCUAUAGUGUUUGGAUCUUAAUCAUUUGAAAGUUUUCUGCAAUCUAAUUGAGAAAUGUAUGUCAACGAUUGUAGAAUUCCGGCUAUAUGUUUCUCCUAAAUUUGCAUAUCAACAUAGCUGAUUGAAUUCUCGUCUGCAUGGCGACUGUGAUGGAAAUAUGCCCUAGAGGCAAUGAUAAAAUGGUUAUUAUUAUAUUUCCUUAUUCAUGAUAAAGGUUUAUUAUUCAUGCUAGAAUUGUAUUGACCGGAAACUUAAAUACAUGUCUGGAUACAUAAACAAAUAUCGUGUCCCAACUGAGGCUCUACUAGACUAGCUCAUUGAUCAAAGAUGGUUAAGGUUUCCUAACCAUACACAUGUGUUGUCAUUUGAUAACAGGAUCACAUCAUUAGAAGAAUGAUGUGAUGGAGAACACCCAUCUGUUAGCUUAGCAUAUUGAUCUUUCAGUUUAUUGCUAUUGCUUUCUUAAUGUCAAAUACAUAUUCCUUCGACUAUGAGAUUAUGCAACUCCUGGAUACCGGAGGAAUACAUUGUGUGCUAUCAAACAUCACUAUGUAACUGGGAGAUCAUAAAGAUGAUAUAUAGGUAUCUCCGAAGGUGUUUGUUGAGUUGGCAUAGAUCGAUAUUAGGAUUUGUCACUCGGAGUACCGGAGAGGUAUCGUUGGGCCCUCUCGGUAAUACACAUCAUAAGAAGCCUUGAAAGCAAAGUGACUAAUGAGUUAGUUGUAAGAUGAUGUAUUAUGGAACGAGUAAAGAGACUUGGUGGUAACGAGAUUGAACUAGGUAUGGAGAUACCGAUGAUCAAUCUCGGGCAAGCACUAGUAGAAAAACUACUUCACGUGAGACACAUCAGUCCCGGUUUGUAAAUGAACUGGCACUAAUGGUACCACUAGUCCCAGUUCGAACGGCUAUGCAUUAGUCCCGGUUCAUUUGUGACCUAUAGUCCCGGUUUGUGUCACAAACCGGGACUAAAGGGCUAGUGGCAGGUUGGCGUCAGGCCGCGGCCCCACGAGCCCCUUUAGUCCCGGUUUGUGACACAAACCGGGACUAAAUGGGGUCUAACCUUUAGUCCCGGUUGGAGACACAAACCGGGACUNNNNNNNNNNNNNNNNNNNNNNNNNNNNNNNNNNNNNNNNNNNNNNNNNNNNNNNNNNNNNNNNNNNNNNNNNNNNNNNNNNNNNNNNNNNNNNNNNNNNNNNNNNNNNNNNNNNNNNNNNNNNNNNNNNNNNNNNNNNNNNNNNNNNNNNNNNNNNNNNNNNNNNNNNNNNNNNNNNNNNNNNNNNNNNNNNNNNNNNNNNNNNNNNNNNNNNNNNNNNNNNNNNNNNNNNNNNNNNNNNNNNNNNNNNNNNNNNNNNNNNNNNNNNNNNNNNNNNNNNNNNNNNNNNNNNNNNNNNNNNNNNNNNNNNNNNNNNNNNNNNNNNNNNNNNNNNNNNNNNNNNNNNNNNNNNUAUUGCCCUUUCAGUUUUGAAAAAAAAGAAAAUGAUAAAAACUUCAAAAAUUAAAAUUCUUUGAGAUGUAGUUAUGUUACUACAUCUACUAGUUAGGUAAAUUUAAAGACAUAAAUUUCAACAUGUUUUGCAAAAAAAGUGUGAUGAAAAAGUAAAACGACUAUACCUUUUGCAUACGAUGUUGGAAAAAAAGUAUAAUAUAUCAAAAUAUCCAGCACAAAAAUCCGCAUCCGAUUUUGACCUUCUCAAAUUACCAACCACAUCAUUUAGACAAGAGAUAAAUAAAGUUUCCAACUGUCCACAUAUGAAAUAGCAACUAUAUCUAUUCAGUAUAACUAGCAAUUACUUUCUUCCUCCCUUUUGUCCUUGUGAUGCAACUCCUUGAAACCUUCCUCACUCUCCCCCACAAAAUCCUAUAGUGUGUACACUACCUGUUGUUCAAGUUGACAUGUCAAUGGACACCGAUAUACACAACUUGUGUUUGGUACACAUGGAAGGGACUCGACCUCGGUAUACUUUUCUGGUUCUAGUUCCAAGUACAUGCAACCCGACUUACAUUCAUUCCUGAUAACAUGCCAAUAUAUCUUCUCUUAAUGUGUGCGAGAGGCAUUUUCCUAUCUCUUUGUGUAUUCUCCGACACCAGCUCCACUGCUUGUACUUCCACCAUGGACCAAUGGCAUGGACUCUAUCAAGUGGAGCACGAUGUCGUAGCAAAUCUCUGUGUUGCUAAACUUCCCAAACAUCCUAGAAUUGUUGUGGUAUACAUCCUUCUCCAUCACCAUGAACACCAUGGUCUGCAUGGCAUACCUAAUCAUGCACGAUAUCUAUGAGUGAGUGGAGGGACAUGGGCGUGAUGUCCGGGUCCUCUAGGAGGCGGUGGAGCUUGCAUAUAGAUUUCACAGCCACCUCCACUCUAGGAAGGACCUAGAACAUCUAUGGUUAGAGCACGCAUAGGUGGUCAGUAAGGACCAUUUGCAAAAGAACGUCACAUUCAUGGUGCGCGCUAGCUUAGUGAAUCACAGGAACAUUUCUUCAACGGCGGGCACAGAGAUGACACCAAUGAUGUCGAGGGACGGAGGGCUUCAAGGGGAGAUGGUGAUGGACGAGAUAAUGUCCAACACCUACAUGCGCAACUAGUGUUACAGAAGGAAUGUGCGUGGGCCCGUCAAGAUAUGUGCCACCCUGACGUUGGGAGGUAUAAUUUGGCGUGACGCGAAGCUCUGAUGGUUUGGCCGGUUGGUCAGAAGGACUGAUACGUCUCCAACGUAUCUAUAAUUUUUUAUUGCUCCAUGCUAUAUUAUCUUCUGUUUUGGACAUUAUUGGGCUUUAUUAUCCACUUUUAUAUUAUUUUUGGGACUAACCUAUUAACCGGAGGCCCAGCCCAGAAUUGCUGUUUUUUGCCUAUUUCAGAGUUUCGCAAAAAAAGAAUAUCAAACGGAGUCCAAACGGAAUGAAACCUUCGGGAACGUGAUUUUUGGAACAAACAAGAUCCAGGAGACUUGGACCCUACGUCAAGCAACCAACAGGGAAGCCACGAGGAAGGGGGGCGCGCCUACCCCCCAGGGCGCGCCCUCCACCCUCGUGGGCCCCCUGUUGCUCCACCGACGUACUUCUUCCUCCUAUAUAUACCUACAUACCCCCAAACGAUCAGAAACGGAGCCAAAAACCUAAUUCCACCGCCACAACCUUCUGUACCCACGAGAUCCCAUCUUGGGGCCUGUUCUAGAGCUCCGCCGGAGGGGGCAUCCAUCACGGAGGGCUUCUACAUCAAGACCAUAGCCUCUCCGAUGAAGUGUGAGUAGUUUACCUCAGACCUUCGGGUCCAUAGCUAUUAGCUAGAUGGCUUCUUCUCUCUUUUUGGAUCUCAAUACAAUGUUCUCGCCCUCUCUCGUGGAGAUCUAUUCGAUGUAAUCUUCUUUCUGCGGUGUGUUUGUUGAGACCGAUGAAUUGUGGGUUUAUGAUCAAGAUUAUCUACGAACAAUAUUUGAAUCUUCUCUGAAUUCUUUUAUGUAUGAUUCGUUAUCUUUGCAAGUCUCUUCGAAUUAGCAGGUUGGCUUAGCCUACUAGAUUGAUCUUUCUUGCAAUGGGAGAAGUGCUUAGCUUUGGGUUCAAUCUUGCGGUGUCCUUUCCGAGUGACAGUAGGGGCAGCAAGGCACGUAUUGUAUUGUUGCCAUCGAGGAUAACAAGAUGGGUUUUUUUUAUCAUAUUGCAUGAAUUUAUCCCUCUACAUCAUGUCAUCUUGCUUAAGGGGUUACUCCGUUUUCAUGAACUUAAUACUCUAGAUGCAUGCUGGAUAGCGGUCGAUGAGUGGAGUAAUAGUAGUAGAUGCAGGCAGGAGUCGGUCUACUUGUCUCGGACGUGAUGCCUAUAUACAUGAUCAUACCUAGAUAUUCUCAUAACUAUGCUCAAUUCUGUCAAUUGCUCAACAGUAAUUCGUUCACCCACCGUAAAAUACUUAUGCUCUUGAGAGAAGCCACUAGUGAAACCUAUGGCCCCGGGUCUAUCUUCAUCAUAUUAAUCUUCCAACACUUUGUUAUUGCCUUUGCUUUUUACUUUGCUUUUAUUUUACUUUGCAUCUUUAUCACAAAAAUACCAAAAAUAUUAUCCUAUCAUAUCUAUCAGAUCUCACUCUCGUAAGUGACCGUGAAGGGAUUGACAACCCCUUAUCGCGUUGGUUGCGAGGAGUUAUUUGUUUUGUGUAGGUGCGAGGGACUCGCGCGUAGCCUCCUACUGGAUUGAUACCUUGGUUCUCAAAAACUGAGGGAAAUACUUACGCUACUUUGCUGCAUCACCCUUUCCUCUUCAAGGGAAAACCAAUGCAGUGCUCAAGAGGUAGCAAGAAGGAUUUCUCGCGCCGUUGCCGGGGAGGUCUACGCAAAAGUCAACAUACCAAGUACCCAUCACAAUCCCUUAUCUCCCGCAUUACAUUAUUUGCCAUUUGCCUCUCGCUUUCCUCUCCCCCACUUCACCCUUGCCGUUUUAUUCGCCCUCUCUUUUUAGCUUGCCUCUUUUCCGUUGCUUGUCGCUAUGGCUAGUCCCUUACCCACUCCGUUGUCCCCUGAGUUUGAAGUCUUUCACUUCAAACAAAGACAAGGAGAAAACUUAAAAGAUGCCUAGUUGAGGAUAAUGGAGUCUUAUCGUAAUUGUACCUUUGAAGUGAACCUGAGAAUUUUGCUUCGCAAUUUCUAUGUUGGAUUAAAUAUGUCUCAUAGACAACUCUUGGAUUGCGUUGCCAAAGGCAAUUUUAUUCAAAUUGAUCCCCAUAUUGCGCUUGAAAUUAUAGAAGGUAUAGUGGGAACACUACCUCAACAAAAGGGGCCUCAUCCUACCCAGGAAGAGACACAAGUUUUUGAAAAAAAUUGUGAAGUUACUAAGAUUUUACAGAAGUCUCUUGAACCUCUUAAGAACGUUAGCGGAAAUAUUCACCGCAUGAAUAUGUUGAUUACUCUUUGCGAUAAGUGGUUGGAUUCUUUAGAUCUAAAAAUUUCAGAAUAUGAAGGGAAACGUAAAGAACCUCCCGGAUUCGAGCUUGAUUCCGCUAAAAAGUUGAAAACCAAAGAUGGCAAUACCUAGAUCUAUCUUUGCUUUUAUGCCUAGCUAGGGGCGUUAAACGAUAGCGCUUGUUCGGAGACAACCCAAUAUUUUUCCUUGCUGAUUAGUAAUAAAUAUUUGUUCUAGCCUCUGGUUAGAUGUGUUUUUAUGCUUUAAUUAGUGUUUGUGCCAAGUUAAACCUAUAGGAUCUUCUUGGAUGAUAGUUAUUUGAUCUUGCAGAAAUUUCCAGAACCUUUCUGUUCACGAAAACAGUUGUUAAAAAUCACCAGAACGUGAUAAAAUAUUGAUUCGAAUUGCUGAUGAUCAAUAAACAAAUUUUCUAGGUCUUCCUAUUUUGGCUGAUUUUUUGGUGUUCCAGAAGUUUGUGUUAGUUACAGAUUACUACAGACUGUUCUGUUUUUAACAGAUUCUGUUUUUCGUGUGUUGUUUGCUUAUUUUGAUGAAUCUAUGGCUACUAAAAUAGUUUAUAAACCAUAGAGAAGUUGGAAUACAGUAGGUUUAACACCAAUAUAAACAAAGAAUGAGUUCAUUACAGUACCUUGAAGUGGUCUUUUGUUUUCUUUCGCUAACGGAGCUCACGAGAUUUUCUGUUAAGUUUUGUGUUGUGAAGUUUUCAAGUUUUGGGUGAAAGAUUUGAUGGAUUAUGGAACAAGGAGUGGCAUGAGCCUAAGCUUGGGGAUUCCCAUGGCACCCCCAAGAUAAUCUAAGGACACCAAAAAUCCAAAGCUUGGGGAUGCCCCGGAAGGCAUCCCCUCUUUCGUCUACUUCCAUCGGUAACUUUACUUGGAGCUAUAUUUUUAUUCACCACAUGAUAUGUGUUUUGCUUGGAGCGUCUUGUAUGACUUGAGUCUUUGCUUUUUAGUUUGCCACAAUCAUCCUUGCUGUACACACCUUUUGAGAGAGACACACAUGAUUCGGAAAUUAUUAGAAUACUCUAUGUGCUUCACUUAUAUCUUUUGAGUUACAUAGCUUUGCUCUAGUACUUCACUUAUAUCUUUUAGAGCACGAUGGUGGAUUUGUUUUAUAGAAACUAUUGAUCUCUCAUGCUUCACUUAGAUUAUUUUGAGAGUCUUAAAUAGCAUGGUAAUUUGCUUAAAUAAUCCUACUAUGCUAGGUAUUCAAGAUUAGUAAAGAACUUUCUUAUGAGUGUUUUGAAUACUAAGAGAAGUUUGAUGCUUGAUGAUUGUUUUGAGACAUGGAAGUAAUUAAUAAUAUCAAAGUCGUGCUAGUUGAGUAGUUGUGAAUUUGAGAAAUGCUUGUGUUGAAGUUUGCAAGUCCCGUAGCAUGCACAUAUGGUAAACGUUAUGUAACAAAUUUGAAACAUGAGGUGUUCUUUGAUUGUCCUCCUUAUGAGUGGCGGUCGGGGACGAGCAAUGGUAUUUUCCUACCAAUCUAUCCCCCUAGGAGCAUGCGCGUAGUGCUUGGUUUUUGAUGACUUGUAGAUUUUUGCAAUAAGUAUAUGAGUUCUUUAUGACUAAUGUUGAGUCCAUGGAUUAUACGCACUCUCACCCUUCCAUCAUUGCUAGACUCUUCGGUACCGUGCAUUGCCCUUUCUCACAUUGAGAGUUGGUGCAAACUUCGCCGGUGCAUCCAAACCCCGUGAUAUGAUACGCUCUUUCACACACAAACCUCCUUAUAUCUUCCUCAAAACAGCCACCAUACCUACCUAUUAUGGCAUUUCCAUAGCCUUUCCGAGAUAUAUUGCCAUGCAACUUUCCACCAUUCCGUUUAUCAUGACACAUUCAUAAUUGUCAUAUUGUUUAGCAUGAUCAUGUAGUUGACAUAGUAUUUGUGGCAAAGCCACCGUUCAUAAUUCUCAUACAUGUCACUCUUGGUUCAUUGCAUAUCCCGGUACACCGCCGGAGGCAUUCAUAUAGAGUCAUACUUUGUUCUAGUAUCGAGUUGUAAUCGUUGAGUUGUAAAUAAAUAGAAGUGUGAUGAUCAUCAUUUUCUAGAGCAUUGUCCCAAGCGAGGAAUUAAAAAAAGAGAAAGGCCAUAAAAAAAUAGAGAAGGCCCAAAAAAAGAGAGAAAAAGAGAGAAGGGACAAUGUUACUAUCCUUUACCACACUUGUGCUUCAAAGUAGCACCAUAAUCUUCGUGAUAGAGAGUCUCUUGUUUUGUCACUUUCAUAUACUAGUGGGAAUUUUCAAUUAUAGAACUUGGCUUGUAUAUUCCAACAAUGGGCUCCUCAAGUGCCCUAGGUCUUCAUGAGCAAGCAAGUUGGAUGCACACCCACUUAGUUUCUUUUGUUGAGCUUUCAUACAUUUAUAGCUCUAGUGCAUCCGUUGCAUGGCAAUCCCUACUCCUUGCAUUAAUAUCAAUCGAUGGGCAUCUCCAUAGCUCAUUGAUUAGCCUCGUUGAUGUGAGACUUUCUCCUUUUUUGUCUUCUCCACAUAACCCCCAUCAUCAUACUCUAUUCCACCCAUAGUGCUAUGUCCAUGGCUCGUGCUCAUGUAUUGCGUGAAAGUUUAUAGGUUUGAGAUUACUAAAGUAUGAAACAAUUGCUUGGCUUGUCAUCGGGGUUGUGCAUGAUGAGAGCAUUCUUGUGUGAAGAAAAUGGAGCAUGACUAAACUAUAUGAUUUUGUAGGGAUGAACUUUCUUUGGCCAUGUUCUUUUGAGAGGACAUAAUUGCUUAGUUAGUAUGCUUGAAGUAUUAUUAUUUUUAUGUCAAUAUGAACUUUUAUCUUGAAGCUUUCGGAUCUGAAUAUUCAUACCAUGAUUAAGAAGAAUUACAUUGAAAUUAUGCCAAGUAGCACUCCGCAUCAAAAAUUCUGUUUUUAUCAUUUACCUACUCGAGGACGAGCAGGAAUUAAGCUUGGGGAUGCUUCAUACGUCUCCAACGUAUCUAUAAUUUUUGAUUGCUCCAUGCUAUAUUAUCUUCUGUUUUGGACAUUAUUAGGCUUUAUUAUCCACUUUUAUAUUAUUUUUGGGACUAACCUAUUAACCGGAGGCCCAGCCCAGAAUUGCUGUUUUUUUGCCUAUUUCAGAGUUUCGCAGAAAAAGAAUAUCAAACGGAGUCCAAACGGAAUGAAUCCUUCGGGAACGUGAUUUUUUGAACAAAAAAGAUCCAGGAGACUUGGACCCUACGUCAAGCAACCAACAGGGAAGCCAUGAGGUAGGGGGCGUGCCUACCCCCAGGGCGCGCCCUCCACCCUCGUGGGCCCCCUGUUGCUCCACUGACGUACUUCUUCCUCCUAUAUAUACCUACGUACCCCCAAACGAUCAGAAACGGAGCCAAACACCUAAUUCCACCGCCGCAACAUUCUGUACCCACGAGAUCCCAUCUUGGGGCCUGUUCCGGAGCUCUGCCGGAGGGGGCAUCCAUCACGGAGGGCUUCUACAUCAACACCAUAGCCUCUCCGAUGAAGUGUAAGUAGUUUACCUCAGACCUUCGGGUCCAUAGCUAUUAGCUAGAUGGCUUCUUCUCUCUUUUUGGAUCUCAAUACAAUGUUCUCCCCCUCUCUCAUGGAGAUCUAUUCGAUGUAAUCUUCUUUUUGUGGUGUGUUUGUUGAGACCAAUGAAUUGUGGGUUUAGGAUCAAGAUUAUCUAUGAACAAUAUUUGAAUCUUCUCUGAAUUCUUUUAUGUAUGAUUGGUUAUCUUUGCAAGUAUCUUCGAAUUACCAGUUUGGUUUGGCCUACUAGAUUGAUCUUUCUUGCAAUGGGAGAAGUGCUUAGCUUUGGGUUCAAUCUUGUGGUGUCCUUUCCCAGUGACAGUAGGGGCAGCAAGGCACGUAUUGUAUUGUUGCCAUCGAGGAUAACAAGAUGGGGUUUUUAUCAUAUUGCGUGAAUUUAUCCCUCUACAUCAUGUCAUCUUGCUUAAGGCGUUACUCUGUUUUCAUGAACUUAAUACUCUAGAUGCAUGCUGGAUAGCGGUCGAUGAGUGGAGUAAUAGUAGUAGAUGCAGGCAGGAGUCGGUCUACUUGUCUCGGACGUGAUGCCUAUAUACAUGAUCAUACCUAGAUAUUCUCAUAACUAUGCUCAAUUAUGUCAAUUGCUCAACAGUAAUUCGUUCACCCAUCGUAAAAUACUUAUGCUCUUGAGAGAAGCCACUAGUGAAACCUAUGGCCCCCGGGUCUAUCUUCAUCAUAUUAAUCUUCCAACACUUUGUUAUUGCCUUUGCUUUUUUACUUUGCUUUUAUUUUACUUUGCAUCUUUAUCACAAAAAUACCAAAAAUAUUAUCCUAUCAUAUCUAUCAGAUCUCACUCUCGUAAGUGACCGUGAAGGGAUUGACAACCCCUUAUCGCGUUGGUUGCGAGGAGUUAUUUGUUUUGUGUAGGUGCGAGGGACUCGCGCGUAGCCUCCUACUGGAUUGAUACCUUGGUUCUCAAAAACUGAGGGAAAUACUUACGCUACUUUGCUGCACCACCCUUUCCUCUUCAAGGGAAAACCAACGCAGUGCUCAAGAGGUAGCAGGGACACAUUUCCCAUUCCUGUUGAAUCCGUCCCCGCGAUAGAAUGGAAAUGGUAGGAGAGAAAGAAGGUAUGUGGUUGGGCCCGCAGGACAUGUGGCACCCUGGUAUUGGUAAGUACAACGUGGCCUGACAGGACAAACUGAAGUUUUGGUCGGUCUAUCGUAGAGAAACGUGUGCCAUUACCCUUGAAUCCACCCAUGGCAACAUAUUGGAAAUGGAAGGAAAGAAAUAAGGGAUGUGUUGAAGGAAAUAUGCCCUAGAGGCAAUAAUAAAGUUAUUAUUUAUUUCCUCAUAUCAUUAUAAAUGUUUAUUAUUCAUGCUAGAAUUAUAUUAACCGGAAACAUAAUACAUGUGUGAAUACAUAGACAAACAUAGUGUCACUAGUAUGCCUCUACUUGACUAGCUCGUUAAUCAUAGAUGGUUGAGUUUCCUAGCCAUGGACAUGAGUUAUCAUUUGAUUAACGGGAUCACAUCAUUAGGAGAAUGAUGUGAUUGACUUGACCCAUUCCGUUAGCUUAGCACUUGAUCGUUUAGUUUACUGCUAUUGCUUUCUCCAUGACUUAUACAUGUUCCUACGACUAUGAGAUUAUGCAACUCCCGAAUACUGGAAGAACACUUUGUGUGCUACCAAACGUCACAACAUAACUGGGUGGUUAUAAAGGUGCUCUACAGGUGUCUCCGAUGGUGUUUGUUGAGUUGGCAUAGAUCGAGAUUAGGAUUUGUCACUCCGAUUGUCGGAGAGGUAUCUCUGGGCCCUCUUGGUAAUGCACAUCACAAUAAGCCUUGCAAGCAAUGUGACUAAUGACUUAUUUGCAGGAUGAUGCAUUACGGAACGAGUAAAGAGACUUGCCGGUAACGAGAUUGAGCUAGGUAUUAAGAUACCGACGAUCGAAUCUCGGACAAGUAACAUACCGAUGACAAAGGGAACAAUGUAUGUUGUUAUGCGGUUUGACCGAUAAAGAUCUUCGUAGAAUAUGUAGGAACCAAUAUGAACAUCCAGGUUCCGCUAUUGGUUAUUGACUGGAGACAUGUCUCGGUCAUGUCUACCUAGUUCUCGAACCCGUAGGGUCCGCACGCUUAAAGUUCUAUGACGAUCGGUAUUAUGAGUUUUUGUGUUUUGAUGUACCGAAGGUAGUUCGGAGUCCCGGAUAUGAUCACGGACAUGACGAGGAGUCUCGAAAUGGUCGAGACGUAAAGAUCGAUAUAUUGGACGACUAUGCUCGGACACCGGAAGUGUCUAGGGAGGUUUCGGACAUAUACCGGAGUAUUGGGGGGUUACCGGAACCCCCCGGGGGAUGUAAUGGGCCUAUUGGGCCUUAGUGGAGAAGAGGAGGGGCGGCCAGGGCAGUCCGCGCGCCCCCUCCCCCUCAAUUCCGAAUUGGACAAGGAGGGGGGCGGCGCCCCCAUUUCCUUCCCCUCACUCUCCUCCUUCCCCCUUCUCCUACUCCUACUAGGAAAGGAGGAGUCCUACUCCCGGUGGGAGUAGGACUCCCCCCUUGGCGCGCCCUCCUCCUGGCCGGCCGCCUCCCCCCUAGCUCCUUUAUAUACGGGGGCAGGGGGGCACCCCAUAGACACAACAAUUGAUCAUUGAUCUUUUAGCCAUGUGCGGUGCUCCCCUCCACCAUAAUCCAUCUUGGUCAUAUCGUAGCAGUGCUUAGGCGAAGCCCUGCGUCGGUAGCAUCAUCAUCACCGUCACCACGCCGUCGGGCUAACGAAGCUCUUCCCGGAAGCUCUACUGGAUCGUGAGUUCGCGGGACGUCACCGAGCUGAACGUGUGCUGAACGCGGAGGUGCCGUACGUUCGGUGCUGAGGAUCGGUCGAUCGUGAAGACGUACGACUACAUCAACCGCGUUGUUAUAACGCUUCCGCUUAUGGUCUACGAGGGUACGUAGACGACACUCUCCCCUCUCGUUGCUAUGCAUCACCAUGAUCUUGCAUGUGCGUAGGAAUUUUUUUUGAAAUUACUACGUUCCCCAACAUGUGUGUGGGCCCGCAAGGACAUGAGGCGCCCUGGUGUUGGUAGGUAUAACGUCACGUAACGCGACACUCUGAAGUUUUGGACGGUCGGUUGAACGGAAACGUUACCCAUUCCCCUCUAAUAUGAUCCUGGCGACGAAAUGGAAAUGGAAGGUGAGAAAGAAGCGAUGUGUGUGGGUCCGCAAGGACAUGUGGUGCCCUGGCAUUGGUAGGUAUAACGUGGUGUUAUGUGACACGCUGAAGUUUUGACCGCCGAUCAUAGGGAAACGUUUCCCAUUCUAGGUGUGACGCGAAAAUUAAUAAGCAGCCAUCAAGAUCGUGACCGGUGUAGAGGUAGUGAUUUUUUUUUUAGUUUUUUUGCUGAUUUUUUUAGUUGGCAUUGUGUUACUAUGAAAAAACAAAACAAAUUCAGAGAAAACAGUCCAACAUGCGUAUGCACCCAGUAUAGUCAACGUCCUCUUCACGCACGAAACAAGGGCGUUCCAGUUAAUCCCACCCACAUCUAAUGUCGGCCGUACGGCAUACAUAUUUCACAUCGGCGCCUCGUUACUGGCGACGAAAAGCAUCUUUAUUAUCCAUUCUAUUCCUAUACCGUCCGAAUGAACCAACAACGGAUGGACGAAUCGCCCGGACCAACAUUCACCUCAGCAUGCUCGGAAUUGAAAGUCUUGAUUGCGGGUCGAUCUCACUUUCCCCAAAUUCACUCUAUAUAUGGUCGAAAGGAUCCUACAGAGAGAUUGAUGGAUUCUUAUUCUGUUGCUGGUCGAAAAGAUCCUACAAAGCAAUCGGGGGAUUCUGAUUCUGAUGCUACCGUGGUACGUGUAAUUCUUAUGUGAACAAUUAUUGAGUAGUACUAGCAGAUUCAUGUGUUAGAUCAUUCAUUGUUGCAUGACUGCAUUUCUUGCAUGUCUCUUCCAUGUUUACCACACAUAUAUGCCUAGUCAAGGUAUUAAUCUGUGAACCAUUUUAAGAAUACAUUUCAUGUUAGCGCAACUCCAACCGAUCCCCUAUCCCAUCGUAAGCAUAAGGGAGUAUAUUUGGCUUUUUUCUCCUCUAAACCGCACAUAGACAAUCCAUUAUUACCAUUAGUGGAGUAAAUUUUUUACUCGAACCCCAAUCUUCUUGUUAUAUUUACUCGGGAUCACGGAGGCCGAGUAAAAAAAUCGCCAUUCUCUCUUCCUCUCCCUGCCUCCUCUUCUCCCCCUCGCCCCGUCACUAGAGCGACCCUCGCCCCGAUCCGCCGCCCUCCCUCCUCCCGAUGGCCGGACGUGGUGGCCACCGGUCCUCUCCGUCGAUCCGCAGCGUGGAUCAGUGCCACCACGCUCGACGGUCAUCGUCCGUGGGCGCUUCCUCGAGCCGCCGCCGGUCCCCUCCAUCGAUCCGCAGCAAGAAUCUGUGCCGCCACGCCCGCGGGUCAUCGUUCGCGGGCGCUUCCUCAAGCAGCCGCUGGUCCCCUCCGUCGACUCGCAACACGGAUCGGUGCCGCCACGCCCACGGGUCAUCGCCCAUGGGCGCUUCCUCGAGCCGCCUCCGAUCCCCUCCGUCGAUCCGCAGCGCAGAUCCGUGCCGCCACGCCGGCGGGUCAUUGACCGCGAGCGCUUCCUCCAGCUGCCGCCGCUCAGCCGAUACGAGUAGUACUAGCAACAGAUCCUACAAAGCUCAUUCAUUGUUGCAUGACUGCAUUUGCAUGUCUCGUCCAUGUUUAUCACACAUAUGUGCCGACUCAUGGUAUUUAUUUGUGAACCUUUUUAAGAAUACUUUCCAUGUUAACCCACUAGCUAGGAUUCUAUUUGUCAUCUGUGUCUUCGCGCUAGGGCUGGGCACCCAAAGCACGAGCGAGCAUUUUCGAUAGUUGUUAUCCCAACUAUCCUAGCCAGACCUGAUACAUUACAUAUCAGGAAAGGCCUAUAGUCAUUCAGUGCUGCAUGUGCAGGCAGUUUUAUUGUAAUAUAUUAUGAUCCCACUCGAUCCGUACAAGAUAGUAAUUGUUGGUUGCCGAUCAUCUCACUGAACCAUACUUCAGCAAUCGAAUAUGUUGUGCCUCUCCCUAUUUGAGAAGGGAACUUCACCCAUUUUGUUGACCUUUAAUUGGAACCACACUUGCCCUCGCCAGUCAUGUCCCACAGUGGUCAUUUAUGGCCAGCCCACUCAUUUCACACUCAAGGCCGGUCUCUAAGAAGUGACAUGUUGUAAAUAUUUCAUGUUAUUCAUGAUCAGUAUACAUGUUUUACCAGUUUCAAUCAACUUGCGUGUCAACUAUAAAUCUUUUUACUGAAUCACAUAUAUCUAUUCUCUUGUUAUUGCAUAGUGAAAAUGGAUGGGAACACCAAAGGAGGUGGACAUUAUGAAGCAUUGAAGAGCUACAAUCUGUGCAAAACGUUAGGUGCAGGCACAUUUGGAACAGGGAUGAUUGUAGAGCUUAAGCAUACAGGACACAAAGUUGCUAUAAAGAUUCUGAACUGUCGUAAAAUGAAUACUGUGGAAAUGGAAGAGAAAGGUAUGCCUCCUCCUUGUACAAUAGUCUAGGAUACAUUUGACUUGCUUGUUCAGGAUUUCGAGUUAUCUGCUUUCAGAGUGCUGGUCAGACUUGUGGGUGUGUUCCUAAUUCCCACUUAAUCAAUUAGACGAGAUAAUGUACAUUCGUAUAGGAUACAUUUGGCUUUGGUUAAGAAGAAAGUUCAGCUUGUGUUGUUGCUGCGAGUUAGUAGAAUUUGCAUAUGCAUUUUCUUCAUAGGCUCAAUGUCUCACACUUUACUUCUAUUGUUUUCUAAUAUAUUAUUUCCAGCAAAUAGAGAAAUCAAGAUAUUGAGGUUGUUCAUUGACUUCAUUCACCCUCAUAUCAUCAGGAUUUAUGAGGUCAUUGAGACACCAAAGGAUAUCUUUGUUGUGAUGGAAUAUUGCCAGAAUGGUGACCUAUUGAACUACAUUGUCGAGAAAAGGCGGUUACAGGAUGAUGAGGCCCGUCCAAUCUUCCAGCAGGUGCUUUUUCUGCUCUUGCCAUGUAGGAACACAUUUUUUGGGAAUAACAAUAUGUUGAGCUUCCUAUUUCGACCAUCAAAUAUAUGGAUAUGCUUGCUAGUUGUCGACCUUCCUCAUGUGUUUACUAUGCAAAUCGCGAUCAAUUUGCUUGGGUUGCAUUUGUUGACUAAGUUUUACCAAUAAUUGUUUGCUCCAUGACGGUUUUUUUUCGGGAGGGGCCGGAAAAACACGGUUUAUGGAAAAUGUCAAACUAUAUUAUAUUUAAGCUCGUUGGUUUUUGUCGAUUCUUUGUUAUGUUUUUGUAUCAUUUGGCAUCUUCAUAUUUUCAUGCCUUGGUUAUCUUAGUAUCAUUAAUUAAAUCAACUUUUGUUAUGGCAUCUUAUUCUUCAUGCCUUGAUUGUCUUAAUCUCGGUGCUUAAAUUAAAUUGUCCUUUGAAACAUAAAGAUAUGGUAUAUCCCUUCUGAAGGCGAAUAUGUAAUUUGAAGGCUUCUUUGUGAUUCACUGAAUGCAUAUUGAGGUUUUAUCUCAAUAGUUUUUCAGUUAAAUUUUUGUUAAACAGAUUAUAUCUGGUGUUGAAUGCUGCCACACGAACAUGGUUGUUCAUCGUGAUCUAAAGCCAGAAACCUGUUACUUGAUUCCAAAUAUAAUGUGAAACUUGCUGACUUUGGGUUAAGAAAAUUGAUGCAUGAUGGCCAUUUUUUGAAGACUAGCUGCGGGAGUUUAAACUAUGCCACACCAGAGGUAUUCACUUAUUUUAUUAUUUGAGUCCUUAUCCUCAUGCUUCUUCACACGCAUCAUCUGGGUUAAUUGCUUUAAUGAGUGUUUCUGCAUAGGUUUUCUCAGGUGAGUUGUAUGCUGGACCUGAGGUUGAUGUUUGGAGCUGUGGGGUGAUACUUUAUGCUCUUCUUUGUGGUGCGGUUCCAUUCGAUGAUGACAACAUUCCCAAAUUGUUCAAUAAGAUAAAGGUGUGACAGAACAUUUGUAGAUUAAGUUGGAUCUGACAAGUGUUUACUUUUUUCUGGAAAUCAAAAAAUUCAUGUAGAUUAGUUGGACUUUAGAAUUCAUUUUUUUCUAGAGAUUUGACUCCCCCUUAUUUGGUGUUACAGGGAGGUUUCUAUAUCCUUUCAAAUCAUUUAUCUGAUCUAGCAAUGGAUUUGAUCCCAAGAAUGCGUAUUGUUGAUCCCAUGAAGAGAAUCAGAAUCCAUGAAAUUCGAGACCACCCAUGGUUUCAGGAUCGCCUUCCUCGCUACCUGGCAAUGCCUCCACCAAACACAGCACAACAAAGCCAAAAUGGUAUGCCAUCUAUUUCACAUUUCAAGCGACUAUCAUAUCUGCACAGUAAAACUUUUCAUCCUUUAUCCACUUAUAUAUACAGGAUUUUUAAUGGAUGAUAGGAAAAUUAAGAACAAUAAUUUUGUCGUGAAAUGCUCUCUUUUAUGGGAAUAAUAUCAAUGUAAUAUUUGCAAUUAUAAUAUAAUAGAAAUCAAUGGCCAUAGUUGUGCGCUUGGUUUCAGAAAGGUAUCACGUCAAGUCUCCAUGCAAUGCUACUCUUUAUUUAUCAAAAAAUAAUAAUUUAUUAUCGAGCAUUCAAAUAUCGUUUCUAUGGGAAUGAUAUGUUGAUUUUCUAGAUGUUCAUUUCAAGAGAUUGACGAAGAUACACUUCAAGAUGUUGCCAAUCUGGGAUACAAUAAAGAUCAUGUGUGUGAAUCGUUGCGCAAUAGGCUGAAAAAUGAGGUAUAUUCAAACAAAAAUCAGUGGUUCAGUCCUUUCAGUUUUCAUAACUGACUUUAUACUAUAUGUUUCUAGGAAACUGUUGCAUAUUACUUGCUCUUGGACAAUCGGUUCCGGGCUACUAGUGGCUAUUUGGGUGUUGACUAUCAAGAAGAAAUGGUUAGUCCACAUUUUCAUCAUCUGUGGCCUAUUUAAUGCACUAAAGGUUUAAGCACUAUUAACUUUAUGAAUGGAUGGCUCUCUAGGAUACGAGUUUUAAUCAGUUUACUCUAUUGGAAUCAGCAAGCCCAAGUACCAGGAAUUAUCUUCCAGGAAGUAGUGAUUCUCAAGGCAGUGGCUUGCGGCCAUAUUACCGCGUUGAAAGAAAAUGGGCUCUUGGGCUCCAGAUCUUGCAAACUGUCCACUUUACUUUGCUUUGCUUUGCACAUUCAGCUGUUGAGCUAAUGCAUCACUUAUCCAGCAGUCUCGAGCUCAACCUUGCACGAUAUUGAUUGAGGUUCUAAAGGCACUUAAGGAAUUAAAUGUCCGUUGGAAGAAGAAUGUGGAGUACAACAUGAAAUGCAGGUGGGGGUUCCCUGGGUUUCCUCAGGUCAGUGAUAUGUGGUUAGAUGCCAACCACAGCUUUGUUGAUGACUCUACUAUCAUGGAUAAUGGUGAUGUUAAUAGGAGGCUACCUGCGGUGAUCAAGUUUGAAUUUCAGGUCUGCAACACCUUCUACUACUAAUGGUUUUUUGCAAUAACAAAAAAAGGGAUUUUCUACUCAAUAUCGCCUUCACAGUGGCGUCACUAGAUAAAAUACUGAUUUUGCUGGAGCCAAUAUAUUUGAUUCAUAAUUGUUACCAAGUGACCAUUAUUAUGUCUUGCAUGUGUCUGUUAUUGCCAACAACAAUUGUCGACUGAAUCAUGGAAUAACUUCCCAUGUUUUAAAGCUGCACAGUGUUGGUGUUAGAAAUUACAAUUCGCCAGCAUGGUACUGUAUAUACUGUCUAUUUGGUUCUAACUUUAAUUUAUUUUUUCUCCAGCUUUACAAGACCAGGGAUGACAAGUACCUGCUAGAUAUGCAGAGAGUUACUGGACCUCAGCUCCUCUUCCUGGAAUUUUGUGCGUCCUUCCUUACCAAGCUUAGGGUUCUAUAGCUAGUGCCUGUUCUGGUGGAGUGGUGAAUAGCAAAACAUAUGAAUGUCCCAUGUGGUGCGGUUCAUCGUCGCAACGGUGAAUAAGUGAUGGUGUGCAAGUAUAUAGGUUGUGUGUUUCAUCUUCGGUUUACCCAGUCCCAGACAGAGAACCGUGUUUGUUUGAGUGACUAGUCCUAUGUCAAGCACCAAAAAGGUUAAGUGGUUGUUAUAAAUAAGACCUAUGUAUGGUAAAUAGGUUGUGGUGAACCUUUUCUGAUUCUCCAAGCUGCGCCACGUACUGCUGGUGGUGAUGCGACAGCACAAGCUUUUGUGAUAUUAUUGCAUGAUCUAGUUUCUAUUUGCCUUGCUGUUGAUUAUGGUGAUGUUGUGUGCAUCUACAGUGCAAUGCAUGACGGCAGGCGUGCGGCACGGCCAUAGAAGUGGAAGCGUCGGGCUGCCACAGGGGCCAACCACGCGAUGGCGCAUGUGCGGGGUGGCGACGUCUUCGUUUGGCGGCGCCACGGCGGUGCUCUGGAGCUCAGGUGUGGUGCGGCGGCUGCGACGUCAUUUUUCUCGGGUGGUUGUGUGCGGGCCGUCCUCGACCAGAUGCGUAAGGAUCUAUUGCCGGGGUUCUGUAUGCGUAUUGGCCGAGGGCGACGAGGGUCACGCGCGUCUGGCUCCGCCAUGGCUAUCGGCUAGGGUAGUGGGCAACGUGGCAGUGGCGGACUGGCGGUGGUUGGUGUGUGCCCAGGACGGCGAGGUCUAUCUCUCGCCAUGUGGAUGGUACGGGCUAUAGGGUGGAUAGGGCUGGGAUUGGCGGCUUCCUACAUGGCUUCUGGGUGGGUGAAGUUGCGGCGUGGUGGCAGUGGUGCCUACCCGGUGGCACCGUGUUGGCGGUGACGGUCUUCUCCCGCGGGCGCGUGGCCGACGGGUGUUGUAGGUUUCCGCGGCGGUCGUGGAGCAGGUCGCGGGGAGCCGAAGGAGGUGGGUGCUUGGCGGCCUGGGGUAACGGCUACCCCCAGGUGGUUGGAGAAUCGUGUUUGUUUGGGUGACAAGUCCUGUGUCAAGCACCAAAAAGGUUAAGUGGUUGUUAUAAAUAAGACUUAUGUAUGGUAUAUAGGUUGUGGUGAACCUUUUCUGAUUCUGCAAGCUGCGCCACGUACUGCUGGCGGUGAUGCGACAGCACAAGCUUUUGUG
RNAcentral lists this long non-coding RNA (37155 nucleotides) under Triticum aestivum (bread wheat). Its description in RNAcentral is "long non-coding RNA (TAES_LNC000857)". Lineage: Eukaryota; Viridiplantae; Streptophyta; Magnoliopsida; Poales; Poaceae. The record is from RNAcentral.